CGACGGUGUUCGGGCGCUUCCAUCCACAGCCUGCACGUCUGGUGUGUGGCUCGAUCGCCCGCUCGUCCGGGCGAGCGAACCCGCUGCCUGCACAACCUCACGCACCCAUUGGCCGAAUCCCCCCUUGGGAAUCGCAUUGCCACCGCCCGCAAUCGUCUCCAACCUCUGCAUCGGCAGAUCUUCCCCUUCCUCUGUCGGCUUUCUUCUCUAGUUGCCAUGGCAACCAGAUCAGAUCCCUAGCGCCCACACCCCCCCAUCAACGGAAAAAGAUGGCAAAAAGCUCACAGUUGCCAAAAACAUAGUGUGUAAAGCAGAGAAAAUGAAUCAUGAAGACAUGGCUGAUCCAUGGUUUCCUCGAAGGCCGCAAGUGCCAUUUUGGGAUGCAAUAGAGUACAAUCAACUCAUUUCUACAGGACCAUUGCUACCACUACUAGAGCAGUACAUGAGCUUAGGUUCUUAUGACACGAACACACAAGCAGGGGUACCGUCGCAAGUUGGAACACGAGGGGCUGGUCGGUGAUAGAUAUACAAGAAACCAACUUCAAGUAGCAAAUGUGGCAAAUCAAGGACCAUCAUGCAGCACGUGGCGACAGGUGGCAGCCGGGUUAUUAUGAUGCAACCACACCAGCAAAUGUCUCGUGGCAAGCUUCACUAUUGCAGGCCAUCGGUAAUGCAGAUACAACGCACCAAAUUGAAGUGGCACGGCAACUUCAAUUAGCACAUGUGGUGCAGCAAGGAGCUUCAACUACAAUCAACAGUGGCGAAGGAACAUCUGUUGCGGGAACCUCAGAGCAUAUUGAAGGAGCAUUCCAUGAGCAAGUCACCAAUGCUGCCACAAACAAUGCGGAAUCAGUGUCAGAAAUGGCAAUCGUUGCAGCAAUGCCGACAAGCACACCUAUGCACACCAGCACAAGCAACACUCAAGCAGAUGAAACAGCCACCAAUACUGAAGUAAAUGAUGAAACUGAUGACGAAGCGCAAGGGGAAGAAGAAGAUGGACAAUCGGAAAUCAUGAUACCUCAGCCACCAUAUCUUGGACAGAGAUUUGGUACUUUUGAAGAUGCCAAGGAGUACUACCAGAGAAAUGCGAUGUUCCAUGGAUUUGCGGUGAACACAGAAUACCAUAGGAAAAUUAAAAAACUAACGAGUAUAGCAGAGGUGAGAUAAGGUGCUACAAGGCACGAAAGAACAAGAAAGGUAAAGGUGUUGUGCCUGUCAUGCCAGAACGAAAGAGAGGCGUCAUUCUCAAGACGAGAUGCCCUCUCCGGUUGAAGCUAAACACAAAUGGAGCAUGGUGGGUGGUCACCAAAUAUGUCGAAGAACACAACCAUGACCUCAUAAAGAAGUUUGACCUAGUAAACUUUUUGAGUGCCCACAGAGGAUUCAGUCCCAUCGAGAAGAAAUUCAUAAGGUUGCUACAUGAUUGUAACAUCGGUCCACCAAGAAUGGUCCAAAUAUUGUCCCUGAUCCACAGCGGAGAUGGGAGCCUGAGUAGCAUGCCUUACAUACCAGCAGACAUCACUAACCUAAAGGAAAAUACCGUAAAGAGAGCAGGUUGGCUGACAUAGAAGCCAUGAUAGCCUACUUCGAAGAGAAAGCAAAAGCAGAUAGUGAUUUCUUCUACAGGAUAAGGUUGGACGAUGAGGACCGUGUCAAAAACAUGUAUUGGGUGGAUGGUGCUGCAAGAAGAGCCUACAAACAUUUCCAUGAUUGCAUUUUGUUCGACGCAACAUAUCUCAUGAAUAUGUACAAGAUGUCAUGUGCUCCAUUCAUAGGAAUAAACAACCACAAUCAGUCCUUGCAGUUUGGUUGCAGUCUCAUUCAGAAUGAAGAUACCGAUGGUUACACUUGGCUAUUCAAAACCUUCUUGGAGUGCAUGGAUGGACUAGCUCCGAUGAACAUAAUAACGGACCAGGAUUUUAGCAUGCGCGCAGGCAUAGAGGAGGUCUUUCCGUUGGCAGUGCAUAGGCACUAUAGGUGGCAUAUUAUUAAGAAGGUUGAAGAGACGCUAGGACCAUUAUUCGCUGACCAUCCAGAGCUACACAAGGCAUUCGAGUUGUGUGUGGACCACAGCUUGACGGUGGAGGAGUUUGAAUGGAGCUAGACAGCUAUGAUUGAAACAUACCUCAAUUCCAAGACAACGAGACACUAAAUAGCUUGUGGGAGAAGCGAAUGUACUGGGUGCCGUCCUACUUCAUGCAGUGCUUCUUUCCAUUUCUGCGGAUUACACAACGCAACAAAGGGUUCAAUCUUGUUUUGAAUCGUUAUGUUAGCCCUGGCAACUCAUUGCUGUAGUUUGCCAAGAAAUAUUCAGCAUUGCAACAGAAAAUACUGGGAUCUGAACUACAGCAAGAAGCAAAUCGCACUCAAGUAGCCAAAAUUGCUAACAUACUUAUUGAUGGAGAGGCAUAUGAGCAAGAUAUACACCACCAAGAUAUUUAAAAGAUCCCAAGAAGAAAUAAAGCGGGCCAACAUGUACACAUCUUACUAGGUUGACGAACAAACCUUCAAGGUGUGUACUCUCAUGGGCAUGUCUGAUUCAGAGCUUGAAGACCCGGACAAGGGACGAAACUACUUUGUCAAGGCCUCAAUAACCGAAGGUGAAUACUACUGUCAAUGCUGCAAAUACGAACGGGAUGGGAUUGUGUGCUGCCACAUACUCAAAGUAAUGGACAUGCACGCGAUCACGUGAUUGCCCCACCAUUUCAUACGACGACGGUGGACUUGGGACGCUAACGAUGCAUUGGGGCCACAAACAUCAACUGCAGUUUGGCUGUACAUGAUGAGAGACCAGAGGCAACCAUGGAGUCCGUUAGGCACGUUGUAUUGUCAAAGAACUAUGCUGAGCUAAUAGAUGAAGCAUGCAAAAGUGAUGAGACAGCCAGGGUGGCAGAAAAGCACAAGAAGGCCCUGAAAAGAGAGCUUGAUGAGAUCAAGAAGAGAAAUGCUGAAGAAGCCUUACAUCAGUUCCCCCGCACCUCAAGUGUGCCUUCGUCCACGGGUCCAUCCUUUGAAAACUCAGAGGUAGGUUCUGGAACAGCAAGCAUGCAGACUCAGGUCAGGAACCCACCUCGUUCUGUCACAAAAGGGCAUCCAAAAGAGAUAUGAUACAAAUCGAGGUUGGAAAUUCAAGCAAACCACAAGAAGGCAAAGAAAGGGGCGGGCAAUCCAUAAAGCAACUAUGGAGGAUUGUAACUUGGUUGUUGAUGACAAUUUGGUAACGUAGAUGAUCAAGGUUUAAAAUAUGUGGGAGUGAAUGUUGGUGGAAAACAGAAAUUGGAAAAAAUGCCAUGUAUGCACAACUAAAAUUGUUGUGUAGUUGCUACUAAAUCUGCCAUGCAGCCUGCACUGAAUCUGCCAUGUAGUUGCUACUGAAACUGCCUUCAUGUAGUUUACCAUUUUUC
RNA transcript from Triticum aestivum (bread wheat), 3404 nucleotides. RefSeq lists it as uncharacterized. The record is from RefSeq and is a predicted model, not a curated record. Lineage: Eukaryota; Viridiplantae; Streptophyta; Magnoliopsida; Poales; Poaceae. The transcript is spliced from 7 exons.